UCUGGGAGCUUGGAGGCGAUCUUAUCAUCCUUGAUGGUGUUACGCAUGUUGUAAGCGUAGUUCUCCAGGGCGUUCUUGGAGUCCACCUUCUUCUUGUGCUCCUCGUCCUCAGCCUUGUACUUCUCGGCCUCCUGCACCAUCUUCUCGAUGUCCUCCUUGCUCAGCCGCCCCUUGUCGUUGGUAAUUGUGAUCUUGUUCUUCUGCCCGGUGGUCUUGUCCUCCGCAGAGACGUUCAGGAUACCAUUGGCAUCAAUGUCAAAGCACACGGUGAUCUGGGGGACACCCCUGGGCGCCGGUGGGAUCCCGGAGAGCUCGAACUUGCCGAGCAGGUUGUUGUCCUUGGUCCUCGCCCUCUCGCCCUCAUAUACCUGGAUGAGCACGCCGGGCUGGUUGUCAGAGUAGGUGGAGAAGACCUGCUCCUUCUUGGUGGGGAUUGUCGUGUUCCUUGGGAUCAGCACGGUCAUGACACCUCCGGCCGUCUCCAGGCCCUGCGAGAGCGGUGUGAC
Molecule: long non-coding RNA, 506 nt
Filed under: Triticum aestivum (bread wheat)
Lineage: Eukaryota; Viridiplantae; Streptophyta; Magnoliopsida; Poales; Poaceae
Description: long non-coding RNA (TAES_LNC004617)
Source: RNAcentral